GCAAUGCCAUAUAUGAACAAGCCCAUAACAAUCCAAUGCCAUACACAUUCAAUUCUAUAUACAGUCAUGCAUCACAAAUAUAUUCAAAUGUCAUUCCAUUACACAUGCAUAUAUGCAACUAGUUCAAUUCCAAAAGCGGUCAAUUUGGAGUUCAAGCUCAUCUAUCAUCAAAUCCAAUUCACAUUUGCAAAGCACACCAAUCCAAAACAAUGCCAAAUCAGUUUCACGAUAUACAAUCACAUUCAUUCAAGAUUAAAAAAAACAAGACAUAUCAUGCAUCAUACAUCCAUGCCACAUUUAAAUUCAAUUAAAUUCAAGCAAUUCGUGUUGGUACCAUAAUUCAUGACCAUUCAAAUACCAUACAAGUCACUCAUUCAUAUCCAAGUUCUAGCCUAACUUUCAAUUAUUUUGGAUCUCACUUAAAUCAAAUUUCGUCCAAACAAUUCACAAAAGUUAUAAAACCAUAACAUGUGCAUAAGAGUUCAUAUACAAAGCAAACAUCAAUACACAUUAACCACAAAAUCUAUUAACCAAUUCUCUAACAACCUAAUAAUUAUGCUAACUUCAUCAUAACUAGUUCAGCUCACCAUAACUACCUUAAAACCUUUCCAACUAACUUACACCACAAAUUAGCAACCAAUUUCUAACAUAACCAUUAACCAAUCAUUAACAUUUAACUACUUUUUACAGUUAACACAUAACUGUUUUUUAACCACAUUUAGAUUUUUUACCGUUAACACUUAAUUGUUCUUCUUUAACCAAUCUAACCCUUUUUCAAAAUGAACAUAACCUUUUUAAAUUGGUUUUUUCAACUGUUUGGUUUCAGUUAACCUUCUUUUUUUAACCUAUUAACUAGUUUUUUUCAAUUAACCAUUUAACUUUGAACCGAACAGUUAACCUUCACUAGACUUUUUUAUUUAACUAGAAUUUUAACCAAUUAACAACCUUCUAACUAUAGUUUUAACUACUUAGAAAUUAAGCUCAACCGAUUGGUUAACAAUCUAACUUCCCUCUAACAAACUAAUGCACUCUAAAACACUCUAAAACCAACCACAACUAACUUUGAGACAGUUGUUAACUGACUCCCAACUGCCAGUACACGUGGCACCUGCCAAUUCACCAAAUUGCCUUUCAAUUCCAUUUCCCUCCAAGCUUG
RNAcentral lists this long non-coding RNA (1156 nucleotides) under Lathyrus oleraceus (garden pea). RNAcentral's name for it is "Pisum sativum (pea) long non-coding RNA (PSAT_LNC001278)". The record is from RNAcentral. Lineage: Eukaryota; Viridiplantae; Streptophyta; Magnoliopsida; Fabales; Fabaceae.